RNAcentral lists this long non-coding RNA (3612 nucleotides) under Cavia porcellus (domestic guinea pig). RNAcentral describes it as "lncRNA (ENSCPOG00000005918.4)". The record is from RNAcentral. Lineage: Eukaryota; Metazoa; Chordata; Mammalia; Rodentia; Caviidae.
AUGGAUUCCACUGGGGAAAUAGAGACAAAUUUAGAGGAAAGCAGAACAGAAAUGUUUCCGCAGGGAAAUGACUCAGAGGAGGUCAUACCUGUAGGUGAAACAGAAACAAGAUCCCAAGAAACUCGAAGAGAGAUCCCCACAGGAGAGAGGAUGUCGGAGGUGAUUGAUGUCACUGAAGAAAGAGAGUCAGAUUUAGAAGAAAUGGAAAGAGAAAUAUCCAUCCCAGGAAAGGUCUCAGAGGAGGUAAAAACUAUAGGUGAAAUGGAAACAGAUUUGAAAUACCUAGAAGGAGAAAUUUCCCACAGGGAGAAGGUAGUAAUAGAUUUCAGUCCUCUAGGGGAAAGGGAGAUUAAUUUGACAGAAACUGGAAAAGGAGACAUUUCUCUGAUGGAGACGAUAUUAGGAAAGAUGACUGUCACUGAGGGAACAGAGGCACAUUUGAAGGAAACUGGAAGAGAAAUUUCUUUGAGGGAGAGAGGAGCUGAGGAGAUUGGUGUUAUUGAGGAAACGGUAGCAGAUUUGGAGACAACUGGAAACGUAGACCUUUCUCUAAGAGAAAAACUGGAGCAGUGUCCUACCUCAAGACAGACUGGCACAGAUGCAGUGCAGAAGAGCAGUGGCGACUGCAGCACUGGGCCUUCCCUGCACGUGGAAAAUAUUGCCAGUGAAGUACAGCCAGCGGUCCAUACAUCUAUAAAAGAAAGUAUUCCUGUAAAGGAAGUGUCAGAUCACUCAGGUUGUUUGAAGACUGCUUCACAGACAUCUGAACUUGGUAAAACUGAAGACCAGGGGAUACAACCUCCAGAUGUUUCUGAGCACUUUUCAGAUACUAAUUUAAGCAAAUCUCUUCCUCAAGAACAUAAGCCACUUGAAGUGAAACCAGUACCUUUUGUGAGAAGUCGAUUCAAAAGACCAAAGCCAAACUUAGCAAGAGCAUCUUCAAGGAAAGAGACUAUAGAAGCAGGGAAAUAUGUGCCUGAGAAGUUGGAAACAAAUCAAAUGGAGAUCAUUGUGAUUCAUCAGGACAGUGAACAAGCUAAUCCUCUCCCUUUGCAACCUGAUGUGACUUUUCUAAAGGCAUCAAGAGAAAAAGAUAAACCAGGUUCCCAGAAGGAGGAAGCUGUGCUCUUCCAGUGUACACAUCCUGAGAAGAACCCAGCACCUUCACACACUUGUGAACUCAGAGAGGAUUCUCAGGCAACACACACCCAGGAAAAUGACUCACCUGUCCUCAUGGGGGUUCAAGAGAUAAACACUUUCCAACAAGACAUGAAGGAAAAUGUUACUCAAGUGGUUCUCACAACAAGGGCCCGACUACAGAGGCCCAGGCCAAAUGUAAGACAUGCUCGACAUAGGCAAGUAGUAGAAAAAGGUGAAGCCAAAGGAAUGAUUAAAGAUGAAAUGACAGUGCUACAAAAACAUGAAACUGACAAGAAAUUGGUGGCAGUGUCAAAUUCUCAAAUUGAAACUGAAAUUGAAAUUGUAUCCUCCAAAGUUUCACAAUGCAGUAUGGAUGAAAAUCAGAGUCAUGAGGUCCUUGCAGAAAGCCUACAUGUUAACAAAAAAAAAAUCUCAGGUGAAAAGAUGAGGCAUGAAAAUCAGCCAUGUGUUUCUAGUCCAGCAUACUUGAUAAGAAGGAAAUUCCAAAAGCCUAAGCCCGAUUUGGGAAGAGCCCGCAGCAGAAAAGUAGAAGAAGCAGGUAUAGACAAAGGCCCAGCAGAUCAGAGUGUAACAAGUAAACCAGAAAAUAAUUCAGUGCACCCAGGAAAUCCUGACACCCAGCUCCAUCUAAAAGAAGAAGCUGAAAUUGUGACAUCUGCAGAAGUUUCAGCAAAAGAUUAUAAAGGUUCAGAAGAGUCCAUUUUGGCCGAAAAAGAUGCUCAAUUAGAAGUUGCUGGACCAUCAGAAAGUAUUAGAGAGGAAACUAUACAAGAUAACUCUGUGUCUUCAAUCGUUGAAGAACAAUAUUUCAAUAAACUAACAAGCAGUCCACAACUGUUGAAAGAAUCAAAUUACUCUAGAACUGCUCUAGAUGGAAGAUCAGUGAACUCUGCUUCUCGGAGUGAGGUAGAUCAUGGAGAAAGGAAAAUGCAGAGGAAAGUCAAAGCCAGUGUCACCAAAGGGCGUGGAACCAAGCGAGCACGGGUUAAGACCUCCAGGAAGGAGCCGCGGGCUCCCAAGGCCAUGCUAGUGACUCUUCGGGCUUCCCAGGAAGAGGAUGAUGACGAUGCUCAGGAUUUUGAAUCUGACUAUGAAGAAGAGAACUGCCAUCUUGCCCCAGAGGAAGUAAACAAAGCACCAGUGUUUGUCCCUCUUGGUCUCAGAUCCCCUGAACCUGUUUCUGCUCAGGUUGAGGAAACAAUGGAAGAGCUUGAAAUAACGGUGAAUGUUGCAGAUGUCGGAUGUGUAACUGUUGUUGAACAUCAGCUCUCAAAUGCAGAUGUGACUAUUCAGAAACUAGAGCAAGAAUGUAACUUGAAUAUGCCAUUUGAAAUGACCACAGGUGAACACACCCAGGAUGAAGCAGGUCCCAGUGAUGGAAGCACGGAGGCAGCCAUAACCUUACUCACCAUGGGAGAACUGGUACUGCAGUCGGAGAUGAGCACGGAGCAGAAUGAUGUAGGAGUAUGUAUAUUUCCUGAUGAUCAUUCAAAGGAUAAAAGUCAUAUUUGUUUUAGCCCAGAUAAUUUAAGUCAUAAAAUUGUUCAUGAAUGUCAGGAGCUUUCUUCAUCUAUCAUUAAUACAUCUGCAUCUGAAGAAAAGGAGAGUGUAUCAGAGGAACAGAAUACUAAAGAAGAAGUUGAUUUAAAGGAGAAAGCAGUGGAGAGCACAUCAACCAGGAGUAUAGCUUCUAAAGUGGAGAGUGAUUUGCAAAUAAAAAGUACAUUCACCAGGCCUGAGCUGAAUCUUGACGCUUUAGUGACCAGCAGGGUUGAUGCUCUUCAGGAAGUUUCUAGUUUAUCUGAAAGGGAAGAAGGGGAAAGUCAAAAAGAAACUGAGAACAGUGCUUCCAAAGCAAUAGAAGUGGAAUGUAAGACCCCUGGACUAGUCAUGACAGCAGAGAGUCAGGAGCAGAACCAGUUGGCAUGUGCGCAGGAUAUCAGAGUGACCAGUAUUUCACAGGAAGGAAGCCCAGCCAAAAGAAAUGAGGAUCAAGAAGAGAGCUCUCAAGAGGUUCAGAUGUUGCCAGUUGCUCCCAUUUUUCCCUCUGAGGCAGGGCCCCCCACACUUGUUUCCAGUCUCGGUGAGAAUUCUGUUGAAGAACCCUUGAUAAAGGAUGCUAAAGGAGACAGCAGGCCCACUCUUCAUGCACCAGAGUGCAUGCGAGCUAGUAUUCCAGAAGUGCAACAGGAGAAUAUAACCAACACUCAAGAUCCAACAGAUGUACAUCAGGACGGAGAGGAUGAGCAGGCAUUCAUUCUAACUUUGGUGGAAAUCCCAGCCAGUGCCGUGGAAGAAUUCACUGAUGCUGCUGUACAGUUAACGCCAAACCCUGUGCUGCCCGCACCUAUCCUGGUCAAAUCUGGUAAUUCUGAAGAAAAGGGUGACAUUAGGUAAUGAAUGGAAACUUGUUUUUACUAAGAAAAAAAAGGGGACACUUUAUGAAUCAAA